AAUGAAUUGCCUGAAAAAGGGCUACUUUGAUAGAGUAGAUUAUAUAAUUUUUUAAUUAUAUUCAUUA
This 67-nucleotide transfer RNA is filed under the name Argyra pingwuensis. Its description in RNAcentral is "tRNA-Ile". The record is from RNAcentral. Lineage: Eukaryota; Metazoa; Arthropoda; Insecta; Diptera; Dolichopodidae.